RNAcentral lists this ribosomal RNA (492 nucleotides) under uncultured bacterium. RNAcentral's name for it is "partial 16S ribosomal RNA". It matches the Rfam family "Bacterial small subunit ribosomal RNA", at positions 29 to 507 of the family's 1533-position model. The record is from RNAcentral.
AGUGAACGCUGGCGGUAGGCCUAACACAUGCAAGUCGAACGGCAGCACAGUAAGAGCUUGCUCUUACGGGUGGCGAGUGGCGGACGGGUGAGGAAUACAUCGGAAUCUACUUUUUCGUGGGGGAUAACGUAGGGAAACUUACGCUAAUACCGCAUACGACCUACGGGUGAAAGCAGGGGAUCUUCGGACCUUGCGCGAUUGAAUGAGCCGAUGUCGGAUUAGCUAGUUGGGGGGGUAAAGGCCCACCAAGGCGACGAUCCGUAGCUGGUCUGAGAGGAUGAUCAGCCACACUGGAAGUGAGACACGGUCCAGACUCCUACGGGAGGCAGCAGUGGGGAAUAUUGGACAAUGGGCGCAAGCCUGAUCCAGCCAUACCGCGUGGGUGAAGAAGGCCUUCGGGUUGUAAAGCCCUUUUGUUGGGAAAGAAAAGCAGCAGGUUAAUACCCCGCUGUUCUGACGGUACCCAAAGAAUAAGCACCGGCUAACUUCGUG